Molecule: transfer RNA, 105 nt
Filed under: Fusarium solani
Lineage: Eukaryota; Fungi; Ascomycota; Sordariomycetes; Hypocreales; Nectriaceae
Also listed under: 2 other names
Rfam family: tRNA
About the family: Transfer RNA (tRNA) molecules are approximately 80 nucleotides in length. Their secondary structure includes four short double-helical elements and three loops (D, anti-codon, and T loops).
Source: Rfam by way of RNAcentral
GGUGAGAUGGCCGAGCGGUCUAAGGCGCUGUGUUCAGGUUCCACAAGAACCAAGCAACGAUUCGCAGUCUAGAAAUAGGCGUGGGUUCGAAUCCCACUCUCAUCA